AGCAGCGUGGCGCAGAUGGAAGCGCGCGGGGCCCAUAUCCUGGUGUGUUACCCCGAGGUCACUUGCUCGAAACAAGCUGCUGCUA
Non-coding RNA from Tephrocybe rancida, 85 nucleotides. The record is from the annotation of a GenBank genome assembly. Lineage: Eukaryota; Fungi; Basidiomycota; Agaricomycetes; Agaricales; Lyophyllaceae.